AUGAACGCUGGCGGCGUGCCUCAUACCUGCAAGUCGCGCGAACAGACGAGGAGCUUGCUCCUCUGACGUUAGCGGCGGACGGGUGAGUAACACGUGGAUAACCUACCUAUAAGACUGGGAUAACUUCGGGAAACCGGAGCUAAUACCGGAUAAUAUAUUGAACCGCAUGGUUCAAUAGUGAAAGACGGUUUUGCUGUCACUUAUAGAUGGAUCCGCGCCGCAUUAGCUAGUUGGUAAGGUAACGGCUUACCAAGGCGACGAUGCGUAGCCGACCUGAGAGGGUGAUCGGCCACACUGGAACUGAGACACGGUCCAGACUCCUACGGGAGGCAGCAGUAGGGAAUCUUCCGCAAUGGGCGAAAGCCUGACGGAGCAACGCCGCGUGAGUGACGAAGGUCUUCGGAUCGUAAAACUCUGUUAUUAGGGAAGAACAAAUGUGUAAGUAACUAUGCACGUCUUGACGGUACCUAAUCAGAAAGCCACGGCUAACUACGUG
RNAcentral lists this ribosomal RNA (496 nucleotides) under uncultured bacterium. RNAcentral describes it as "partial 16S ribosomal RNA". It matches the Rfam family "Bacterial small subunit ribosomal RNA", at positions 29 to 507 of the family's 1533-position model. The record is from RNAcentral.